CGGGAGAUAGCUGGUUCUCCCCGAAAGCUAUUUAGGUAGCGCCUCGUGAAUUCAUCUCCGGGGGUAGAGCACUGUUUCGGCUAGGGGGCCAUCCCGGCUUACCAACCCGAUGCAAACUGCGAAUACCGGAGAAUGUUAUCACGGGAGACACACGGCGGGUGCUAACGUCCGUCGUGAAGAGGGAAACAACCCAGACCGCCAGCUAAGGUCCCAAAGUCAUGGUUAAGUGGGAAACGAUGUGGGAAGGCCCAGACAGCCAGGAUGUUGGCUUAGAAGCAGCCAUCAUUUAAAGAAAGCGUAAUAGCUCACUGGUCGAGUCGGCCUGCGCGGAAGAUGUAACGGGGCUAAACCAU
RNAcentral lists this ribosomal RNA (353 nucleotides) under Salmonella enterica. Its description in RNAcentral is "partial 23S ribosomal RNA". It matches the Rfam family "Bacterial large subunit ribosomal RNA", at positions 839 to 1190 of the family's 2925-position model. The record is from RNAcentral. Lineage: Bacteria; Pseudomonadati; Pseudomonadota; Gammaproteobacteria; Enterobacterales; Enterobacteriaceae. RNAcentral also lists the same sequence under 5 other names.